RNAcentral lists this ribosomal RNA (513 nucleotides) under uncultured bacterium. Its description in RNAcentral is "partial 16S ribosomal RNA". It matches the Rfam family "Bacterial small subunit ribosomal RNA", at positions 28 to 523 of the family's 1533-position model. The record is from RNAcentral.
GAUGAACGCUGGCGGCGUGCCUAAUACAUGCAAGUCGAGCGAACGGAUAAGGAGCUUGCUCCUUUGAAGUUAGCGGCGGACGGGUGAGUAACACGUGGGUAACCUACCUAUAAGACUGGAAUAACUUCGGGAAACCGGAGCUAAUGCCGGAUAACAUAUAGAACCGCAUGGUUCUAUAGUGAAAGAUGGUUUUGCUAUCACUUAUAGAUGGACCCGCGCCGUAUUAGCUAGUUGGUAAGGUAAUGGCUUACCAAGGCGACGAUACGUAGCCGACCUGGGAGGGUGAUCGGCCACACUGGAACUGAGACACGGUCCAGACUCCUACGGGAGGCAGCAGUAGGGAAUCUUCCGCAAUGGGCGAAAGCCUGACGGAGCAACGCCGCGUGAGUGAUGAAGGUUUUCGGAUCGUAAAACUCUGUUAUUAGGGAAGAACAAAUGCGUAAGUAACUGUGCGCAUCUUGACGGUACCUGAUCAGAAAGCCACGGCUAACUACGUGCCAGCCGCCGCCGUAA